AGGACGAACGCUGGCGGCGUGCUUAACACAUGCAAGUCGAGCGGUAAGGCCUUUCGGGGUACACGAGCGGCGAACGGGUGAGUAACACGUGGGUGAUCUGCCCUGCACUCUGGGAUAAGCCUGGGAAACUGGGUCUAAUACCGGAUAUGACCUGCUCUCGCAGUGGGGGUGGGUGGAAAGUAUUUAGUCGGUGCAGGAUGGGCCCGCGGCCUAUCAGUCUUGGUUGGUGGGUAAUGGCCUACCGAAGGCGACGGACGGGUACGCCGACCGUGAGGACGGGUCGACCGGCCAACGACGUGGACUGAGACACGGCCCAGAC
This 319-nucleotide ribosomal RNA is filed under the name uncultured soil bacterium. RNAcentral's name for it is "bacterial SSU rRNA". It matches the Rfam family "Bacterial small subunit ribosomal RNA", at positions 26 to 336 of the family's 1533-position model. The record is from RNAcentral.